UUAAGUGACUAAGCGUACAUGGUGGAUGCCUUGGCAGUCAGAGGCGAUGAAGGACGUACUAACCUGCGAUAAGCCGUGAGCAGUCGGUAAGAGACAUUACGACUCACGGAUUUCCGAAUGGGGAAACCCACUUAGCAUAAGCUAGGUAUCGCUGCGUGAAUACAUAGCGUAGCGAGGCGAACCGGGAGAACUGAAACAUCUAAGUACCCCGAGGAAAAGAAAUCAACCGAGAUUCCCUCAGUAGCGGCGAGCGAACGGGGAUUAGCCCUUAAGCAUCUUGGAAGUUAGUGGAACGGUCCUGGAAAGGCCGGCGAUACAGGGUGAUAGCCCCGUACACGAAAACAACCUUGAUGUGAAAUCGAGUAGGGCGGGACACGUGACAUCCUGUCUGAAUAUGGGGGGACCAUCCUCCAAGGCUAAAUACUCCUGACUGACCGAUAGUGAACCAGUACCGUGAGGGAAAGGCGAAAAGAACCCCUGUGAGGGGAGUGAAAUAGAACCUGAAACCGUGUACGUACAAGCAGUGGGAGCCCUUCGGGGUGACUGCGUACCUUUUGUAUAAUGGGUCAGCGACUUACAUUUUGUAGCGAGGUUAACCGUAUAGGGGAGCCGUAGGGAAACCGAGUCUUAACUGGGCGUCUAGUUGCAAGGUGUAGACCCGAAACCGGGUGAUCUAGCCAUGGGCAGGUUGAAGGUUGAGUAACAUCAACUGGAGGACCGAACCCACUAACGUUGCAAAGUUAGGGGAUGACCUGUGGCUGGGGGUGAAAGGCCAAUCAAACUCGGAGAUAGCUGGUUCUCCCCGAAAGCUAUUUAGGUAGCGCCUCGGACGAAUACUACUGGGGGUAGAGCACUGUUUGGGCUAGGGGGUCAUCCCGACUUACCAACCCCAUGCAAACUCCGAAUACCAGUAAGUAAUAUCCGGGAGACACACGGCGGGUGCUAACGUCCGUCGUGAAGAGGGAAACAACCCAGACCGCCGGCUAAGGUCCCAAAGUUCUGGUUAAGUGGGAAACGAUGUGGGAAGGCUCAGACAGCUAGGAUGUUGGCUUAGAAGCAGCCAUCAUUUAAAGAAAGCGUAAUAGCUCACUAGUCGAGUCGGCCUGCGCGGAAGAUGUAACGGGGCUCAAACCAGGCACCGAAGCCGCGGAUUCACGCUAAGCGUGAGUGGUAGGGGAGCGUUCUGUAAGUCUGCGAAGGUGUGUCGAGAGGCAUGCUGGAGAUAUCAGAAGUGCGAAUGCUGACGUAAGUAACGAUAAAGGGGGUGAAAAGCCUCCUCGCCGGAAGACCAAGGGUUCCUGUCCAACGUUAAUCGGGGCAGGGUGAGUCGACCCCUAAGGCGAGGCCGAAAGGCGUAGUCGAUGGGAAGCAGGUUAAUAUUCCUGCACGACUUGUAAUUGCGAUGGGGGGACGGAGAAGGCUAGGUGGGCCAGGCGACGGUUGUCCUGGUGAAAGUGCGUAGGUGGUGUUUCUAGGCAAAUCCGGAGACACAACACUGAGACACGAGACGAACACACUACGGUGUGGAAGCCAUUGAUGCCCUGCUUCCAGGAAAAGCCUCUAAGCUUCAGAUUACAAGUCAUCGUACCCCAAACCGACACAGGUGGUCGGGUAGAGAAUACCAAGGCGCUUGAGAGAACUCGGGUGAAGGAACUAGGCAAAAUAGAACCGUAACUUCGGGAGAAGGUUCGCUCUUGACAGUGAAGUCCCUUGCGGAUGGAGCAGUUGGGAGUCGCAGUGACCAGAUGGCUGGGACUGUUUAUCAAAAACACAGCACUCUGCAAACACGAAAGUGGACGUAUAGGGUGUGACACCUGCCCGGUGCCGGAAGGUUAAUUGAUGGGGUUAGCGCAAGCGAAGCUCUUGAUCGAAGCCCCGGUAAACGGCGGCCGUAACUAUAACGGUCCUAAGGUAGCGAAAUUCCUUGUCGGGUAAGUUCCGACCUGCACGAAUGGUGUAACCAUGGCCAUGCUGUCUCCACCCGAGACUCAGUGAAAUCGAAUUCGCCGUGAAGAUGCGGUGUACCCGCGGCUAGACGGAAAGACCCCGUGAACCUUUACUACAGCUUGGCACUGAACAUUGAACCUACAUGUGUAGGAUAGGUGGGAGGCUUUGAAGGCGUGACGCCAGUUGCGCUGGAGCCGUCCUUGAAAUACCACCCUUGUAUGUUUGAUGUUCUAACGCAGGCCCGUGAAUCCGGGUCGCGGACAGUGCCUGGUGGGUAGUUUGACUGGGGCGGUCUCCUCCCAAAGAGUAACGGAGGAGCACGAAGGUUGGCUAAUCCUGGUCGGACAUCAGGAGGUUAGUGCAAUGGCAUAAGCCAGCUUAACUGCGAGACGGACAGGUCGAGCAGGUACGAAAGUAGGUCAUAGUGAUCCGGUGGUUCUGAAUGGAAGGGCCAUCGCUCAACGGAUAAAAGGUACUCCGGGGAUAACAGGCUGAUACCGCCCAAGAGUUCAUAUCGACGGCGGUGUUUGGCACCUCGAUGUCGGCUCAUCACAUCCUGGGGCUGAAGUCGGUCCCAAGGGUAUGGCUGUUCGCCAUUUAAAGUGGUACGCGAGCUGGGUUCAGAACGUCGUGAGACAGUUCGGUCCCUAUCUGCCGUGGGCGUUGGAUGAUUGAAGGGAGUUGCUCCUAGUACGAGAGGACCGGAGUGAACGAACCUCUGGUGUUCGGGUUGUCACGCCAGUGGCACUGCCCGGUAGCUAAGUUCGGAAUCGAUAACCGCUGAAAGCAUCUAAGCGGGAAGCGAGCCCUGAGAUGAGUCAUCCCUGACCCCUUGAGGGUCCUAAAGGGCCGUUGGAGACCACAACGUUGAUAGGUGGGGUGUGUAAGCGCGGCGACGUGUUGAGCUAACCCAUACUAAUUACCCGUGAGGCUUAACCA
This 2886-nucleotide ribosomal RNA is filed under the name Aeromonas hydrophila. RNAcentral's name for it is "23S ribosomal RNA". It matches the Rfam family "Bacterial large subunit ribosomal RNA". The record is from RNAcentral. Lineage: Bacteria; Pseudomonadati; Pseudomonadota; Gammaproteobacteria; Aeromonadales; Aeromonadaceae.